Molecule: ribosomal RNA, 468 nt
Filed under: uncultured bacterium
Lineage: Bacteria
Description: partial 16S ribosomal RNA
Rfam family: Bacterial small subunit ribosomal RNA
Source: RNAcentral
GACGAACGCUGGCGGCGUGCUUAACACAUGCAAGUCGAACGGAAAGGCCCUGCUUUUGUGGGUUGCUCGAGUGGCGAACGGGUGAGUAACACGUGAGUAACCUGCCCUUGACUUUGGGAUAACUUCAGGAAACUGGGGCUAAUACCGGAUAGGAGCUCCUGCUGCAUGGUGGGGGUUGGAAAGUUUCGGCGGUUGGGGAUGGACUCGCGGCUUAUCAGCUUGUUGGUGGGGUAGUGGCUUACCAAGGCUUUGACGGGUAGCAGGCCUGAGAGGGUGACCGGCGACCUAGGGACUGAGGUACGGCCCCGACUCCUACGGGAGGCAGAAGUGCGGAAUAUUGCACAAUGGGCGGAAGCCUGAUGCAGCAACGCCGCGUGCGGGAUGACGGCCUUCGGGUUGUAAACCGCUUUCGCCUGUGACGAAGCGUGAGUGACGGUAAUCGGUAAAGAAGGCCCGGCUAACUACGUG